UGGGGAAUUUUUGACAAUGGGGGCAACCCUGAUCCAGCCAUCCCGCGUGUGCGAUGAAGGCCUUCGGGUUGUAAAGCACUUUUGGCAGGAAAGAAACGUCAUGGGUUAAUACCCCGUGAAACUGACGGUACCUGCAGAAUAAGCACCGGCUAACUACGUGCCAGCAGCCGCGGUAAUACGUAGGGUGCAAGCGUUAAUCGGAAUUACUGGGCGUAAAGCGUGCGCAGGCGGUUCGGAAAGAAAGAUGUGAAAUCCCAGAGCUCAACUUUGGAACUGCAUUUUUAACUACCGGGCUAGAGUGCGUCAGAGGGAGGUGGAAUUCCGCGUGUAGCAGUGAAAUGCGUAGAUAUGCGGAGGAACACCGAUGGCGAAGGCAGCCUCCUGGGAUAACACUGACGCUCAUGCACGAAAGCGUGGGGAGCAAACAGG
RNAcentral lists this ribosomal RNA (429 nucleotides) under Acidobacteriota bacterium. Its description in RNAcentral is "Acidobacteria bacterium partial 16S ribosomal RNA". It matches the Rfam family "Bacterial small subunit ribosomal RNA", at positions 355 to 776 of the family's 1533-position model. The record is from RNAcentral. Lineage: Bacteria; Pseudomonadati; Acidobacteriota.